Molecule: long non-coding RNA, 3160 nt
Organism: Fukomys damarensis (Damara mole-rat)
Lineage: Eukaryota; Metazoa; Chordata; Mammalia; Rodentia; Bathyergidae
Exons: 3
Source: RefSeq, a predicted model, not a curated record
CGCGCUCUUCUUUCUCUUCCCCUGGGGAGCAGCUGGCGGGAGUGGAACUCAGCCUCUAGCCAUGGGGAGUCUGCCCAACGGAGAGGGGCUCCGGCCCCGCCGCCCCUCCCUGCCGGGUCAGUCCCCGCCCGGUGGGUUUUCUUUUCUGCGCUUCCCCUCCCCCACCCCCGGUUUCCCGAGCCACGACCCGCGUCUCUGGCGGAGCUGCCUCCUGGAGUCCCUAGUGCGCCAGGAGCCUCGCUGUGUUCUGAUUCGUAUGGGCUCCGCCGAGUUCCGCUUGCGUCAGGCGCCUUCGCCCCUAUAGCGGGGCAGCCAGCCGCGCACGGGCGAGUUCAUCUCCAAGUCAGUUUUUGUAAACGCCCCGCACAGCCCGGACCGGUCUGCCCCCGCUCGGCGAGCCUCGGGGGCCCAGCAGACAGCCGGGCUCACGCUCUCACGAGCCCUUGGAAUCUGCCGGUGCUUGCUCUGCGGACUGGGCCCAGAGAUGCCUUGGGCCCCGGAGGGGGCCUCCGGUGCCGGCCCAGUGCCCCGGGAGCUCGGGCCCCAGCGAGGAGAGGCUCUCUACGCCUCCUCACAGCUUUCAGGUGAAAGAAAACAACUCUUUCGCUCUGCCCUUUGCUGAAGUCCUGGGGCUAAACAUCUUGCUUGGGUCCGGGGGAGGUGCAAGACAGCCAGGGGGCCUCACUGGGGUGAUGUGGGGAGAGCUUUGCGGUGGCUCUGGGGGAAACUAGCCCAGAAACGCCAGACAUUAAAAAAAUUUCAGCCUGCCUGUCCCGCUCUCAGGGUGACUGGGCCAGAAGAAGAGAUUCGCUGGGAAGAGGCCCUUAGGGCCGCCCACCUAAACAGCCUCUGAACCAGAGCCCUCCGUGUGGUAGCCUUCCCGGGUGUGUGUGUGCUUUAACAACACCAAGUAGACUCCCCUCUGCUCCAGCACUGGCGCCCACAUAGAUGGGGAUAUUAUUGGGCUUUGGGGACUCCAUACGUGUGUGCACAGGUGUCACAUAUGGAAGACAUUGAGAGGAGCUGGCCUUGAGAAGGGUGAGCUACCCGCUGUCUAGGCGCAAGCGUGCCAGCUGUGUCAGAAACACGGAUAUGCACAUGUACAAGCUGUGAGAUUUACAUUUAUGAGGUAUAACACAUUCAUACUUGUAGGUAUGUAUGUGUAUCCCAUAUCAAGGUACGUGUGGUUUCAUGGCUAUGGCAUUGUCUCUCCUUUCCCCCCUUUCAUUCUAUCUUUCACAAUUCAUACCUGCCAUUUUCCUGCUCAAUGUAUACAAUUCUGUUGUAGAGUUGGAAGAAAAAACAACAGGCUGUUCAACUCUCUCUCCAGAUGAGACAUUUUUGUCUGACUUUCUCCAAAGGUCCAGGAGUGAGUUCUGAUCUACCUUCAGCAGAAGUCUGAUUGGGACCUGAUUACACCAGCAUAUUGCCGAGAUCUAUGCUGGCAUCAAAAUCAGGCUGCUCAGUCUCUGAACAUUCUCUGGAAGCCUGAGGAUCCCCCAGUGGCCUGUGGCUCCACAAUCCAUAGGCCACUGACAUUUGCUGUCUGCUCCCUUCUCUGAAUGUGCCUCUGAUCCACAUUCCGAGAUGAAAGGAAGGGAGGACAGAGUGCUGGGGCGCUCUGGAAUUCAGUAUUUUGAAGAUGACUCCAGAGAGGUCAGCAGGGCAACCAACCCUGGCCUGACCACCAGGAUGAGAGGGAGCUAAGCUCUUCUAAACUCUCCUCACUAGGUACUGGCCUCCACCCCUUAUUGAAAACAUCUCAAGGUAGUCUCCCCCACCAACCUGCUCCAAGCAUCCACACGCAAGGAGCAGCACAUCCCCAAAAUCCAUGCACUUGCUUUCUGAGCAGGAGUGCAGGUGUUUUUCUUCUUCUCUCCUGUGUGCGCCCAGGCUAUGGGUAGGAGUGGUGAGUCAGGUUUGGGGCUGUUGCAGAUUGGCUCCUCCGGCCUGCGGCCUGCGUGUGUGUGUGGUGGGUGGGCAGCUGGGUCUGGCCUUAUCCUGGUGGGGGCUGCUCUCUCUUUUUCCCUCUUUUUUUCUGGCCACCCAGGCUGGCUUUCUGUUUCCCCCUCUCUCCUCCCCGGCAUUUCCGCCGCUCAGCUCCACAGCAGCCAGGUGUAACAGCAUUGUUGUGUGUGUCAUCACUUCCCCGAAUUCCAUACUCAGCUCCCUUUUCAGGCUUUAAGGCGUUUGUGUGCCUGCAGAGGGGGUGGGGGUAAAGGAAAGAAUCCCUCUAAAGGAGUGGCAAAAUGAGGAGUCCUGCUCUACCAGGUGUUGACUUCUGGCUGAUCUUUCUAGGAACAAAACCCCCGACCUGAAUGGAGAUGGAGUGCCUCCAGCCACGAACACUAGGAGGGGCUGGAAUUUGUCUGUCUCCACGUUGUGUGUCCACAUGGCAGUUGGGCACUGGAAGGCUGGGAAAACAGGUGACACGGUGAUUGUCUCCAGGGCUGUUCCAUCCUCUGGGGAAGGAGCAAGGGGCUUGACACUGGAAGAGACUUAGUGGAGGACAGAGUCUUGUUGUCCGUGCUUUGGUUCAGCCUGAGGUGAGUGAGGCAGGCGCUCCUGUAUGUGGCUGCGGCUGGGUAGCUGCUUUGGUUUACUUCUCAACUCCCUUAGGCAGGCUGGGUAGGUCCUGCUUCUUGGAGAGGUCAGAAUACUCUCUGGCAAUGCACUUGGGCCCAGGACCAUUAUUUCUCUGCAGCUUGGGUGACCAGGGUCCAGGGCGGCCCCACCUCCAGGGGCCAAGGCCCUGAGCCUAGUGGAAUUCACAGCGUGGGGCCUGGGCAGCCCCGGCUUUCCGGGAACCCUCAGCUACAACUCCGGAGUCCAGGGCACCUCCUGCCCAUCGCCUGCGUGCGCGCUGUGCCAGGGACCCACAGAAGAGCUCCAGGGACCCUUGGAAGAGCACGCCCUUCACUGUCCAAGCCUCCCGGAAGACUGGCCCCGCAUGGGCGGCACGGACAGCUGGCACCAGCAAUUCACUUGGCCCUGAUGAAGCCAGCAAUUUCUCUCCGCCAGUACUGGGGAUUGAACUCAGGACCUUGUACUUGCCAGGCAUGCAUGGUGCCACUGAGCCACAUUGCCAGACCUCUUGAGAAGAUUUCUUUGCUGCAAAGAUUAAUAUAGAGUCUAGCAUGGAGGAAGCACUAAAAAAACC